GGCACCUUCGUAAAACUUCUCAAGAUUUACAGUCUUGCUUUCCACAUUUCUUAAACCCUUCCGAUUGAAAUUGGAAUUCCUCUUCCGCCACUCUCACUUUAUUCUCCGACUCUCAGCUCUUCGGCUGCCAUGGGAGACAGAGAGAGAGCUCGCGACCGUGACCGAGACAGAGACAGAGAAAGAGACAGAGAAAGACGCAGAGACAAAGAAGAUCGCGAACGCGAACGCGAACGCGACCGUGACCGAGACAGAGACAGAGACAGAGAACGCACCCGCAGCACCCGCUCACGCACCCGUUCACCUGACCGGACCCGUAGCACCCGCUCGCGCACCCGUUCACCUGACCGCACCCGCUCACGACACGCACGCUCUCCUGAACGCCAUCGUUCUCGCUCACGCUCCCCGGAGUCUCGUUCUCACCGCCGCCAUCGCAACCAGCGCACUCCUUCCCCAUCGCCACCCCGAAAACGUCACCGUCAUGACACCGAGGAUGGCAGAGAUAAGGAAAAGGAAAGAGAGAGAGAAAGGGAUAGGCAGAGGGCAGCUGUGUCAGAUUUCUUGGACGGGAUCGCGAGGGAGCAGUUGGAGAAGAUUGGGAAUAACAAUAACAGCGCUGGAGGAGGAGAUAGAGAAGCAGAGGUAGAAGGAUCUUUAGUGGAUGAGGAUGAGAUUGAGAUGAUGAAGAAGUUAGGGAUUCCAGCUGGCUUUGAUUCCACGAAGGGCAAGCCGGUGCCUGGUGCGGACGUCAGUGGAGUGAGAGUGGUUACGAAGCGGCAGCCCAGGCAAUAUAUGAACCGAAGGGGAGGAUUUAAUCGGCCAUUGCCUCCAGAACGGAAUCGCUAGCUUUUUUUGAAGUCAGGCAAGGCUGCAGCUUCUUAUUUUGCCCUGUGUUAGAGGAAUGGAGGGUUUCAAUCAACCACUAUGUUUGACUCUUCCCUAGAGGUUGGUCUCAUUCUGGGUGAACAAAGUAAGGGGGAUCAGCCUGGCUUAAAUCAUUAUGCUCGACUUUCAAGUUUUUACAAGAGGCGCAUGAGAAGGCUAUCUGGGAUCCUCUUAUCUUGCCCCACAUAUGUGAGAUAAUUUCACAUACAGUGUACUCUAAAAGCUAUGAUCAGUAAAUAUCCUUCUAAUUUGGAUUUUAGGCAGAAGCAGUUUCAGAUUUUCCCUAGCAUUAGUGAUUUCCAAGUGGGACAUAGAAAAAUGGUUGAUUUUUCCCAAUACAUUAAAAAUUAUAGAUCCAAAGGUUUGUUAAUUCAAUAUUUUGAAAGUUGCUUUUCUGAUUAAUUUUAUUGCUUUUUUAGUGAUUGCCCUUUUUGAUCUUAUUCUUAUUAUAAGAGAAUUGAUUCCACUCUCACUUUCUCAAGAUUAGAGAUUGGCUUGGUGCUUAGUGAUUGACCUUUUUCUUCUUGUUACUAUUAAAUGAAUAUUUUGAUAGCUAUUUUUCUAAUCAAUGCUAUUGCUUUUUGAUGAUGGGCUUCUUGAUCUUAUGCUUAUUCUAAGAGAACUGAUUCGAAUUUUUACUUUUAUGAAAUUGGAGAUUGGCUUGGUGUACAAUGAUUGGCCUUUUUCUUCUUAUUAUUCGGUACUUGCAUACUUCCUUUUCCCAUGCUUUCCCUUGUUCAUCAGCCAACCACAACUCUAGUCUUGUUUUUCACUGUUCUUACAAGUAUCUAUUUGUUCUUCACUACUUAAACUUGAUAGAGUUGAUUUUUUGUUUGGGAGGAAUCAUUUUUUUCUUGAUCAUACCUUAAUUGUAUAAAUAUACUUGUUUUACACAAUUCAUUUGGUCAUUUUUUUUCCCUUCUACUUCCUUUAUUCCUACAUGCAAUGAUGUCAAUGGAGUCCUUGGGAUCAACAAAUUAUAAAACUAAUGCAACAAACAAUUAUUUGGUAGAUGUCAUGAGAAAAUGUUUUAGUACUUGUGUAUCCAAUAGGUAUUUUGUUCUAAGUGUCCCAAUGGUGUAAGGUGGUCAACUUACUAGGGAAAUGAGGAAAAUCACUUUGAUCUCUUGUUCUAGAGAAAUAAGUCUCUUGUGAGGAAUGGGGGGAAAAAAAUCUUCUAAUCUUGGAUGGGGGAUCUAGAUCAUUUGUGGGGAUGACAUCAUGUUAAUCCAUGUUCGACACCAUGGAGGUUGUUAAGGUCCCAAAUCACAGAUUGCAUCACGAGACGCUGGACAGGGAAUGAGCUUGUUGGAGGGAAUUGUUAACGCUUAAAACUCAUUAAUGGGAGAGUGUCGGAUCACAAAUAUUUUUGUAAGCAUUCUACAUGUUCUAUUGAAUAAAGAGAAACCCCUUAUAUAAUGGAGGUUCAUACGAUUAGUUGAUUGUAGUACUCUUAAUUGAACUAGAAGUCAAUAUGAUUGUUGUUGAUAAAAUUGAAUAUGCUAUAAUUGAUUGACUUCUUCAAUAUUUAGACUCUGUUGAAUAAUAGGUUUGGUUUAUCCGACAUCUAUAUUUCACUCUCUUAGAGAAGGAGAUUGUCUUUAAGUCAAAUUCUAGAUAAGCUUCGUUACAGUGGUACAUGGGGUUCCUUUUUGCGGCAUCAUCUUCUACCAUGGGCAUUCGAUCCAUCUACUUCUCUUCUAAUCAAAACAAUUUCUUGUAUUGAUGAUCAACAAAAUCAAGUUUAUAGCAAUCAUAAUAAAGACCUUUGGCCCUUUUUUCCACCAUUUCAGAUUUGGUGAGCUUUUUAAUGAAUGGAGAAGCAAUAAAUUUUGAUUUGAACUCAACAUAUUGUUGACAUUAGUGCUAGAUGAUCCCUUCAUAAUCUCAGGAAGAGCUAUUAUAGGUUGUGCAGUGAACCAGGAAGCUGUCUUCCAUAUAACUAUUUCUCUCCACUUGUUGCUUGCGUUCAAAUGCUUGUGCUAGAUUCUUGAUAGUCAUCUUUGUUCUUGCUCGUGCGUCAAUUUUGUCAUUAAUUCAAAUGCCUCUAUUUGGAAUAUUACUGUUGCUAUUUAUAGUUGCUAUUUAUACUUGUGUUUGAGUUUUUGUUGCAAUUGUUGCUAGGAUUACAAAAAAAGAAAAAAUUGUCAGGUUUUGCGUUGAUUCUUUAUCUAAGACUCCAAUUGAGAGAUCCUAGCUUUCAUCCUUGCUUCUACUUGAACCAAUCUAGUCUCAUAUUGUGUCUGAGCUUGGCAAAGUUAGGACGUUAUUUCCUCACUUGAGUUUCUAGAAUUCCCGUGAUGAUUGUUCCUAAUCAUGGAUAGUAUCAUAGGACGACGGACAGGGAAAGAGUUUGUUGGAGGGAGCUUUUAACACCUCAGAUUCGUUAAUGAUGGAGUCUUAAAUAUCAAAUGUUGUUGAAAUUAAUUUGCCUUAUAUAAUGGUGGUUCAUAAAAUCAUAAUGCUUAUAAUUAAAGUGAAAGUCUAAUACAAGCAUUUGUUCAAUAAGAAACUACUAAUACAAGUAAUUAUUUAAUAAUAAGCUAAUGAGAUGCGAUAAUAGAAAUUGGAUAAGAAAUUACUAAACUGUGUUGUUAAACUCGUACGAUUCGUAUUGAAUUAGUAGCUUACCAAUACGAAUCGAUGGGUGAAUUACAGCGAGCCAAGAAUCAUAUAAAUUGAAGGUGAAUCAUGGGAAUUGUUACAAAUCAACGGACUGUAAGUUUGGAAGGGAAAUUUUCCAAAAUGACUCAGAUAAUUUUAAUUAUUCACUUAAUAAAAAGAAUGUGAUGUUGAAAGGUUAAUUGUCUCUCUCUUUUGAGUUUUAAAGAUCACGAUGUUAACUUAAAAAUAUAACAGAAGGGAUUGCUAGCAGAUUUUUUAAAACCUUACAAAUGUUUUAAUAUAUUUUUUAAAAUUGAUAUGCCACCUAUGAUUCCAUAAAAAAAGUGUCCUUCCUGUAGGAAUAAUAGAGGAAUAUAGUUUUCUUUUGUUGCUUUGCUUGUUGACCGGUGGAAAGCAUGGCAAGGGGAGAGCUCAAGAAAGUCUUUCUUUACUACUUCAGUUCCUUCUGGGCUUGCAUCUUAGUGGUACUUGCUAGACAACAUAUGACAUUGUCUCUUCUGCUAAGUGGAUAUUGUUUCAAAUUGGAGGAUAUGCCUGCUUUCUAUCUUUCACCGUAAGAAAUUCCUGGCUUACUUGCCCAAGUCUACACCCUUCCUUCUCAAGGCUCAGUGCAUCCUAUUCAAACUUUCUUUCUGAUGACAAGUUCUUAGCAAAAGGAAUUUUUUUGUCUGUCUGGGGGACCUUUCUUUGCUGUUACUUCUCCAUCUCUUGCCUUGCUUUUUUGCUCGACCACUGUAUAACAAGAAAAUAUAUCAACGGAAAACAAAAUAAUAUUUGAAUGCAGAAUUAGAGAUAAUAGAAGUCCAUAUGUUGGUGUAAAUAACAUGUAAAGGAGAUAAUGCUUGGGCGAAAAAAACUUGAGAAGGGAGUUCAUGAUGCUUUCCUGGUUAACAAUGGGAAAAAAAUUAGAAAGACUUGAAGAUAAGACAGAGAGGUAUUUGGACUGCAGAGGGGAGCGCAAAACUGGGACUCCAGAGUGGGCUAGUUGACGAUCCCAAGUGGACAACAGAACGCGAUACACAAGCAAAAAAGUGAUGACCAGGCAGGGUGGAGGGAAAUGACACAAGAAGGGACUCCCAUUAUCUUCUGUAGCAUUGAUGCCAACUCAAAACUUAUACUCUCUGACGCUUUCCACUGUCCCCUUCUCCAUCUUUUUUGAGCAACCUUUGCUCCGUGACUGCUUAGGCUGGCUGUCUGGGAAGACUCUCCCCCACUCCUCCCUAACCUUCUAGCCUUGCCUGUCCUCUCCAAACCUUUCUUGUGAUGAAACCUCACCUCAUCCGGGUGUGUGCCUCCACGUUGCAUGACUAUGAGCUACAUCUAUUACCAAAAUGAUGUUUCUUCAACCAUGGAAUAAUUUUUUAAAGUCUUAUUGAUUGAGGUAAUGUAUCUUUAAGCAUAGGGUGACAUGGUGGUGACUUGAAUGGUUGAAUCACAACAAUAGAUCCAAAUGAAAGACCUUGUAAGCUUUAUGUCUUUCUGCAUACCUUGAGAUAAGGUCUUUGUAUUAAUGUCGUCUUCAAAUUUUAUUUUUCAAGAAGUAAUCGGAGUGCUUGCAUUUAGAUGAUAUGGCAUUUCGUUUAGAUGACAUCAAUCAGAUGUACCCUAUGACUGCAAUAUGAGAUGGUUCCAACAAUUGAAUCUCAGGCGUUAAUUUAUCCAA
Molecule: RNA transcript, 5170 nt
Organism: Manihot esculenta (cassava)
Lineage: Eukaryota; Viridiplantae; Streptophyta; Magnoliopsida; Malpighiales; Euphorbiaceae
Gene name: U4/U6.U5 small nuclear ribonucleoprotein 27 kDa protein
Exons: 5
Source: RefSeq, a predicted model, not a curated record